GAUGAACGCUGGCGGCGUGCCUAACACAUGCAAGUCGAACGGAGAUUACGGACGGAAGUUUUCGGAUGGAAGACUGUAAUUCUUAGUGGCGGACGGGUGAGUAACGCGUGGGCAACCUGCCCUAUACAGGGGGAUAGCAGCUGGAAACGGCUGGUAAGACCGCAUAAGUCGGCGAGACCGCAUGGUUUUGCCGGGAAAUGAGCAAUCAGGUAUAGGAUGGGCCCGCGUCCGAUUAGCCAGUUGGCAGGGUAAAAGCCUACCAAAGCAACGAUCGGUAGCCGGACUGAGAGGUCGGACGGCCACAGUGGGACUGAGACACGGCCCAAACUCCUACGGGAGGCAGCAGUGGGGGAUAUUGCACAAUGGAGGAAACUCUGAUGCAGCGACGCCGCGUGAGUGAAGAAGUAUUUCGGUAUGUAAAGCUCUAUCAGCAGGGAAGAUGAUGACGGUACCUGACUAAGAAGCCCCGGCUAACUACGUG
Molecule: ribosomal RNA, 481 nt
Filed under: uncultured bacterium
Lineage: Bacteria
Description: partial 16S ribosomal RNA
Rfam family: Bacterial small subunit ribosomal RNA
Source: RNAcentral